This 508-nucleotide ribosomal RNA is filed under the name uncultured fungus. RNAcentral describes it as "SSU rRNA". It matches the Rfam family "Eukaryotic small subunit ribosomal RNA", at positions 569 to 1078 of the family's 1831-position model. Lineage: Eukaryota; Fungi. The record is from RNAcentral.
AGCAGCCGCGGUAAUUCCAGCUCCAAUAGCGUAUAUUAAAGUUGUUGCAGUUAAAAAGCUCGUAGUUGAAUUUCGGGACCAAUUUAUCGGUCGUGCCUAUGGUAUGAGCUGGUACAAUUGGUUUCUCCCUUCUGACGAAGCAUGAUGUCAUUAAUUUGGUGUCGUGGGGAAUCAGGACUGUUACUUUGAAAAAAUUAGAGUGUUUAAAGCAAGCAUUAGCUUGAAUACAUUAGCAUGGAAUAAUGAAAUAGGACGUUUGAUCCUAUUUCGUUGGUUUCUAGGAUCGACGUAAUGAUUAAUAGGGAUAGUUGGGGGCAUUAGUAUUCAAUUGUCAGAGGUGAAAUUCUUGGAUUUAUUGAAGACUAACUACUGCGAAAGCAUUUGCCAAGGAUGUUUUCAUUAAUCAAGAACGAAAGUUAGGGGAUCGAAGACGAUCAGAUACCGUCGUAGUCUUAACCAUAAACUAUGCCGACUAGGGAUCGGAUGAUGUUAAUUUUUUAAUGACUCA